UACCCCAAACCGACACAGGUGGUCAGGUAGAGAAUACCAAGGCGCUUGAGAGAACUCGGGUGAAGGAACUAGGCAAAAUGGUGCCGUAACUUCGGGAGAAGGCACGCUGAUAUGUAGGUGAAGCGACUUGCUCGUGGAGCUGAAAUCAGUCGAAGAUACCAGCUGGCUGCAACUGUUUAUUAAAAACACAGCACUGUGCAAACACGAAAGUGGACGUAUACGGUGUGACGCCUGCCCGGUGCCGGAAGGUUAAUU
Molecule: ribosomal RNA, 255 nt
Filed under: Escherichia marmotae
Lineage: Bacteria; Pseudomonadati; Pseudomonadota; Gammaproteobacteria; Enterobacterales; Enterobacteriaceae
Description: partial 23S ribosomal RNA
Rfam family: Bacterial large subunit ribosomal RNA
Source: RNAcentral